This 465-nucleotide ribosomal RNA is filed under the name uncultured bacterium. RNAcentral's name for it is "partial 16S ribosomal RNA". It matches the Rfam family "Bacterial small subunit ribosomal RNA", at positions 338 to 795 of the family's 1533-position model. The record is from RNAcentral.
CCUACGGGAUGCAGCAGUGGGGAAUAUUGCACAAUGGGCGCAAGCCUGAUGCAGCCAUGCCGCGUGUAUGAAGAAGGCCUUCGGGUUGUAAAGUACUUUCAGCGGGGGGGAAGGGAGUGAGGUUAAUAACCUCAUUCAUUGACGUUACCCGCAGAAGAAGCACCGGCUAACUCCGUGCCAGCAGCCGCGGUAAUACGGAGGGUGCAAGCGUUAAUCGGAAUUACUGGGCGUAAAGCGCACGCAGGCGGUCUGUCAAGUCGGAGGUGAAAGCCCCGGGCUCAACCUGGGAACUGCAUUCGAAACUGGCAGGCUGGAGUAUUGGAGAGGGGGGUAGAAUUCCAGGUGUAGCGGUGAAAUGCGUAGAGAUCUGGAGGAAUACCGGUGGCGAAGGCGGCCACCUGGACAAAGACUGACGCUCAGGUGCGAAAGCGUGGGGAGCAAACAGGAUUAGAUACCCGGGUAGUC